GUCCACGCCGUAAACGAUGUGUGCUUGUCGCUGGGGAGUUCACUCUUCGGUGACGCAGCUAACGCGUUAAGCACACCGCCUGGGAAGUACGGCCGCAAGGUUAAAAACUCAAAAGGAAUUGACGGGGACCCGCACAAGCGGUGGAGUAUGUGGUUUAAUUCGUCGCAACGCGAAGAACCUUACCAGGCCUUGACAUGCCCUCUAUGAGCUAGAGAGAUCUAGUUCUUCACUUCGGGUGGAGGGACACAGGUGCUGCAUGGCUGUCGU
Molecule: ribosomal RNA, 267 nt
Filed under: uncultured bacterium
Lineage: Bacteria
Description: partial 16S ribosomal RNA
Rfam family: Bacterial small subunit ribosomal RNA
Source: RNAcentral